RNAcentral lists this small nuclear RNA (193 nucleotides) under Neonectria ditissima. RNAcentral describes it as "U2 spliceosomal RNA". It matches the Rfam family "U2 spliceosomal RNA". Rfam says of the family: U2 is a small nuclear RNA (snRNA) component of the spliceosome (involved in pre-mRNA splicing). Complementary binding between U2 snRNA (in an area lying towards the 5' end but 3' to hairpin I) and the branchpoint sequence (BPS) of the intron results the bulging out of an unpaired adenosine, on the BPS, which initiates a nucleophilic attack at the intronic 5' splice site, thus starting the first of two transesterification reactions that mediate splicing. Lineage: Eukaryota; Fungi; Ascomycota; Sordariomycetes; Hypocreales; Nectriaceae. The record is from Rfam by way of RNAcentral.
UUAGCUCUCUUUGCCUUUUGGCUUAGAUCAAGUGUAGUAUCUGUUCUUUUCAGUUUAAUCUCUGGAACGCCUCUACGGAGGCACCUUAUGAUUAUUCCUAUUUUUGGUUCCCGGGCGGCUUCCUCUGUGCUUGCACACGAUGCCACCCACUGUGUCCCUGGUAUUACACUGCCUCCAGGUGACGCGAACUACU